GUUUUAUUUGUUUUCCUGGUGGGGCUGAAGUCCAACUAAGCAGUGGACUGAGGCCGUGACUCCAAGUCCAUCGCAGAGCCAACAGAGACAUACAACCAUGCAUCCAAACACUCAUCAUACAGAAUGGGAAACCUAAGUGGCAGAUCACAGACUGAGGAAUCCAUGGAACAACAGUGUUACGGCCCUAGUUCGUUUUUGGCUGUUCUUGGGAUUGAAGAGAGGCCUUCUGUGGGUCCUGGUAUCUGGCUUGAUUGCUGCCUGCUUAUUAAGAACUGCCACACAUGCUGCUGCAGCCCUUUCUCUCUUCCUCCUGAGAUCUUCAUUUGUUUAGUUUGUCUCCUAUGUUUAGGUUGUGCAAGAUUUGCUUAGUUUGGUUAUUAAUUUGAAUUUUGGGUUAACAUGCAAUUUGGCUUUUCCUUUUCAGGUUAAUUUUACUUUGAUAAACAUUUUUUUUGUUUAAGUAAAUAUCCUUCCGGGUCUCCUUUUAUGUUAACCCACCAUACAA
Long non-coding RNA from Girardinichthys multiradiatus, 505 nucleotides. RefSeq lists it as uncharacterized. Lineage: Eukaryota; Metazoa; Chordata; Actinopteri; Cyprinodontiformes; Goodeidae. The record is from RefSeq and is a predicted model, not a curated record. The transcript has 3 exons.